UACGGAGGAUCCAAGCGUUAUCCGGAUUUAUUGGGUUUAAAGGGUGCGUAGGUGGCUUUUUAAGUCAGGGGUGAAAGACGGUAGCUUAACUAUCGCAGUGCCUUUGAUACUGAAGAGCUUGAAUGAACUAGAGGUAGGCGGAAUGUGACAAGUAGCGGUGAAAUGCAUAGAUAUGUCACAGAACACCAAUUGCGAAGGCAGCUUACUAUGGUUUUAUUGACACUGAGGCACGAAAGCGUGGGGAUCAAACAGG
Molecule: ribosomal RNA, 253 nt
Filed under: uncultured bacterium
Lineage: Bacteria
Description: partial 16S ribosomal RNA
Rfam family: Bacterial small subunit ribosomal RNA
Source: RNAcentral